Molecule: ribosomal RNA, 910 nt
Filed under: uncultured fungus
Lineage: Eukaryota; Fungi
Description: eukaryotic LSU rRNA
Rfam family: 5.8S ribosomal RNA (bases 555-708)
Source: RNAcentral
GGAUCAUUACUACAACAACAACAGCAACAUCAAGCGAAUUGAUGAGGCGCGGGGCAGCCGCCUGCGAGGCGCCGCCCCCGCCCGGUUUCGCCGGCGGGAGCCGGGAGUGGAUAAGGCUGGGUCGGGACUCGGGAAACCGCCCGGGACGGGCAGAUUGGACCUCGCUCGGCGCGAGCGGGGGCUACUCGCGUCGUGAUGAAAACCCGCCCCGGGAGGCCCGCGGCGCCCACGGUCGGGAACGUCGGAGGAUCGCCUCGCCGCGAGGAGCCAACAUGGCGGCCGCCUCUGCCACCCCUCCAGCGGGGAGAUUGGAGCUCGCGCGUUGCUUGAAGACCCGACUGGUGACCACCGGUUCCCCCGAAACACUCUCGGCGACCGCCAACCGGCGAGUUCCGAACCAAACUCUCUGCGUACAGAUCCCCGUUGCUUCCCCGGGCGCCGCCCCGGGGGAGGUCCCAGCGCGAACGAUGCCGCCCAACCCACCAGCGUGUCCUCGGUCUGACGGCCAUCGCGCCAGGGAAGGAGGGAGAGAGCGAGGAAUUCGAAGAACGAAAAACUUUCAACAACGGAUCUCUUGGUUCCCGCAUCGAUGAAGAACGCAGCGAAAUGCGAUAAGUAAUGUGAAUUGCAGAAUUCAGUGAAUCAUCGAAUCUUUGAACGCACAUUGCGCCCCCUGGCACUCUGGGGGGCAUGCCUGUUCGAGCGUCUCCAGUGAGAGCUCUCGCGCCGGUGAAGGGCGCGGUCGUGGCGGCGGUGGCGUGCCCCGAGCGGGCUGCCACCGGGCUGGAAUUCAUGGGCGGGACGCCUGCAGCGUGGCCGAGCGUGAUAUGACGCAUUGGCGCCGGCUAGCGGCGAGGCUCCCGGCCCUGGCCCGUGCGUCGGGCGGGGGAGCGCGUGUUGACGGAACUCC